Equus caballus (horse) is the source of this 2785-nucleotide long non-coding RNA. RefSeq lists it as uncharacterized. NCBI's taxonomy places the organism in Eukaryota, Metazoa, Chordata, Mammalia, Perissodactyla, Equidae. The record is from RefSeq and is a predicted model, not a curated record.
AAUCUGCAGUAACGAAUCUGCAGCUCGCUGGGUUCGCGUCCUCUGGUGUGCGGCAGAGGGAGUGGAGGAUCCGCGAGCUGUUGGGGCUAAAACAAGUUGCAUCUCUUCUCUCGGGCCUGAGAACAUUAAUUAAGUGCCUGGUUGCAGCAGGGAUGAAAGCUGAGCCUACGGACGCUGAUGGUCAAGAAGCGUAAUUGUGGUGAAGACACCAAGAAGUGUAAUUGUGGCGAAGAUACCUGCCCAGAGACAUGUCCCAAGGGCGACGGUACUCUUCCAUUCUCCCAACAAAAUGUAAUUGCUGGAUCCUGGGGCUAUGGAGCUGAAUAAGGAAGACACAGUUCUGAAUCCCAUGGAUGCCCAGUUGUGAGACUGUGAUUUAUAACAAAUGUAUAUUUCGUCUUCACCCUCAUUUCUGACACUGAGCUCCUAAACCCUUGGAAUUUCCUGUGAUGAGAGUGAUAAAGGUGUGUUGUGUUACAUUAAUGAGGUGACUUUUGGACCACACCUAAGGAGGGGGCUGGUUGCCAGGAGAAAUGAUUAGCAGUUGGAACUUUCAGUCCAACCCUCCUGACUCUGGGGAGGGGAGCGGGCUGGAGAUUGAGCUCAGUCACCCAUGGCCAAUGAUUUAAUCAGUCACACCUGUGUGAUGAAGCCUCCGUAAAAGCCCCAAAGUACUGGGUUCAGGGAGCUUCCUGGUUGGGGAGCACGUAGAGGUGCGGGGAGAGCAGUGUGCCCAGAGAGCACGGAAGCUCUGUGCCCUUUCCCCAUACCUUGCCCUAUGUAUCUCUUCCAUCUGGCUGUUCCUGAGUUAUAGCCUUUCACCCUAAACUGGUACUCUAGUAAGUAAAAUGUUUCUCUGAGUUCUGUGGGCCACUCUAGUAAAUUAAUCAAACCUAAGGAGGGGGUUGUUUGAAACUCUGAUCUAUAGCCAUUCAGUCAGAAAACUCGGGCUUGUGACUGGCAUCUGAAGUGGGGGUGGGGUUAGGGGAUGGGAAUGUGGUGGGCAGUCUUUUGGGACUGAGCCCUUAACCUGUGGAAUCUGAUGCUAUCUUUGGGUAAAUAGUGUCAGAGUUGAGUUAAAUCAUAGGACACCCAGCUGGUGUUGGAGAAUUGCAUGGUGUGGGAAAGAACCCUCCUAUACAUUGGAACUGGAGUCAGAAUCUUACUAGCCUAAAAAAAAAAGGCCAGUCUUGAGCAGACCUGUGAAGGGUGAUUUUAGGUCCACAGCUUGCCUGUUUCACAUCCUCCUUUUCCAGUUAUCUUGUUCUCUUGGUCCCGCCCAUGUGAAAACCUGUCCUCAGGUUUGGAUCUGACCUCAGUCAUGUGUAACUUAGUUUGCGCUAUUCUGAGUAUGUCAUGUUUGCGGAUCAGACUGCAUGCACCUGAGGAAAGGGACCAUGUCUGCAUUUCUCUGUAUGCACCCACUUCUCCGAGUGCAGAUUCCUGCAGUAACAUCCCACCUGAUUUUAAGUGGCAUAGUGUUGAGCACUGGCUUUGGCCCCCAGACGAGGGUUUGAGUCUGCCACUUGCUAGCUCCGUAGCCUUGGGCAAGUCAUGGCACUUCUUUGCGCUUCAGUGUUCUCAUCUGUAAAAUGGGCUUGAUGACUUUUGACCUCAUACAGUUGUGAAGACUAUAUAAGACAAGGCAUGAAAAGCGCUUAGGUCACUACCCUACCCAGGAUAGAGAGAGCACUCAAAGAAUGGUUCUUGUUGAUGAUUGUUAUUAAGUUUCACGUCCCGCUAGGGAAUGACAGGUUUUAUCCAGGGCAAUAUGAUCGAAUGAAUGUCAGACUCUAGCGAGCUAUUGGGAAGCUUUUUGACAGAGUCUGUUUUCCCUGAGCUAUGGUUCCCGCUCUGAUGACCCCUUUUCCAAGCAACCUGGAACUCACCUCCUCCAAUAUGUCCAGAAGCAGCCCUCACUGAGCCCUUCUUAUGCUUUCCUAUGAUCUCCCCAAUGCCGGUGCUGAAGCUGCCUUGAGCGAGUCCUAAAUCUUCUCUUCAGGGAGAUUAAUACCUUGCAAAAGCCUCAAGCCUAUUUUAAUUGAAUUAUUUCAUUCAGUGUCAGGCUUAAAGAGCACCCUACAGACUCUCGGCUCUGAAUGAAUGCAUUAAAAAAAUCAAAUAGUGUAGAUCGUGGCAUAAUCCUUGAGGGAGAUAUAAAUAGAAUUUCCUCUGCUGCCCUUUCGUUUCCAUACGUUAGUUAAUAAACACACUUUUAUAGCAUCUGCUUUUCCUUUUCCUCCCCUAAUGCUCUUUAGUUGUCUUAAUAAGAAAGAGAAUAAAUCUCAGAAUAUAACAAGAUGUUAGGGAAGAAUUUACCAUCUUAAUUUUCAGGGCUGGAAAGGAUUUUUCGACAUUACCUGGUCUAACCCUCUGCAUGGUUUACCUGGUGUGGGGCAGAGGUCUAGAGAAGGCAAUGGCUUGGCCAGGGUCACAGAACUUCACUUCUAAUGAGCUCAGCUUGAAAAAGACAUGUUCUUAGUCCUGGACAAGUAUUGGGAGUCGCAGGGAACAUGGCAUGAAUAAGGUCAAGUGAGUAGACCAGGGCGUGGUUAAGGGUGGUGCUCUGGGCUCAGAUUAUAAGGGGUUGAAUCUUGGUCCACCUCAUGCCGUCUGCCUUUGGGCAAGUUAUUUAUCUUUGCUGGGCUUCAGUUUUUUUUUUUACCACAAAAUAUGGAUAAUAAUAGUAUCUACCUUGGACUGCUGUUGAGUCAAACUACAGUUCACUAAAAAACUCAGUACUGCACCUGGCACAUAGUAAGUGUUCAAUAAACUUUAGUCAUUA